This 253-nucleotide ribosomal RNA is filed under the name uncultured bacterium. RNAcentral describes it as "partial 16S ribosomal RNA". It matches the Rfam family "Bacterial small subunit ribosomal RNA", at positions 524 to 776 of the family's 1533-position model. The record is from RNAcentral.
GACGUAGGGCGCAAGCGUUGUUCGGAAUUACUGGGCGUAAAGGGCUCGUAGGCGGCCAACUAAGUCGGACGUGAAAUCCCUCGGCUUAACCGGGGAACUGCGUCCGAUACUGGAUGGCUUGAGUUCGGGAGAGGGAUGCGGAAUUCCAGGUGUAGCGGUGAAAUGCGUAGAUAUCUGGAGGAACACCGGUGGCGAAGGCGGCAUCCUGGACCGACACUGACGCUGAGGAGCGAAAGCCAGGGGAGCAAACGGG